Molecule: ribosomal RNA, 327 nt
Filed under: uncultured eukaryote
Lineage: Eukaryota
Description: partial 18S ribosomal RNA
Rfam family: Eukaryotic small subunit ribosomal RNA
Source: RNAcentral
CCCUUAGAUGUUCUGGGCCGCACACGCGCUACACUGAAGGAGGUAGCGUGUACUCCUGGAUCGAAAGAUUUGGGUAACCCGCGAAUCUCCUUCGUGCUAGGGAUUGAGGUUUGCAAUUAUCCUUCAUGAACGAGGAAUUCCCAGUAAGUGCAAGUCAUAAGCUUGCGCUGACUACGUCCCUGCCCUUUGUACACACCGCCCGUCGCUACUACCGAUUGAAUGAUUUAGUGAGGACUUCGGACUGGGACCGAUGCGGCUUUCGGGCUGCGUCGGUAUUCUGGAAAGAUGUCCAAACUGUAUCAUUUAGAGGAAGUAAAAGUCGUAACA